RNAcentral lists this ribosomal RNA (344 nucleotides) under uncultured bacterium. RNAcentral's name for it is "bacterial SSU rRNA". It matches the Rfam family "Bacterial small subunit ribosomal RNA", at positions 141 to 469 of the family's 1533-position model. The record is from RNAcentral.
GGUCAACUUCACGCGUUAAGCUGACCCUGAGCCAGGAUCAAACUCUAGGUCGACCAUAUGAAAGCGGGGGAUCGCAAGACCUCGCGCUAUUGGAGCGGCCGAUAUCAGAUUAGGUAGUUGGUGGGGUAAAAGCCUACCAAGCCGACGAUCUGUAGCUGGUCUGAGAGGACGACCAGCCACACUGGGACUGAGACACGGCCCAGACUCCUACGGGAGGCAGCAGUGGGGAAUUUUGGACAAUGGGCGCAAGCCUGAUCCAGCCAUGCCGCGUGCGGGAAGAAGGCCUUCGGGUUGUAAACCGCUUUUGUCAGGGAAGAAAUCUUCUGAGCUAAUACCUCGGGAGG